This 495-nucleotide long non-coding RNA is filed under the name Fukomys damarensis (Damara mole-rat). RNAcentral's name for it is "lncRNA (ENSFDAG00000031474.1)". Lineage: Eukaryota; Metazoa; Chordata; Mammalia; Rodentia; Bathyergidae. The record is from RNAcentral.
GUGUCCGGGACGGAGAGCAGGGCUGGGCCCGGCCCGGGAAUUGGCCGGUUCCCUCAAAGCUCCAGGGCUAGCCGGGGGCUCUGGUUGUUCUAAAAAAUCUCAGAGUCCAGCCGAACUGGGCUGUUUGGGACAGGGCGUCCCCCCUGACUCAGGCCACUGAAACUGGCCCCUCCUGAUCGUCCGCCUGCUGGACUCUGCUGUUUGUGGCGAAGCCCGUACUUCAACACGGGUGGCCCCCCUACCAGAAAGGGACAGGCCAGUAUUUCGAGGCGACGGCUGCUCCCCUUCUAAAGACAGCAGAGGUUCGCAGGAAGUAAGACCUGUCCAACAGGUUCGAAAACUAAAGUCCAAAGAUGUUAAGGGACCAGUGGACCUGAACAUGGUUUCGUUGACUCCCAGUUUCUGAACCAAAAAUAACUGAAACAUUGGACUAACAAGGUUCGACAUAGGAUCAGUAGAGGGGUCCACGAAAAACAAAAAUGAAAGAACCACGCA